Molecule: ribosomal RNA, 497 nt
Filed under: uncultured bacterium
Lineage: Bacteria
Description: partial 16S ribosomal RNA
Rfam family: Bacterial small subunit ribosomal RNA
Source: RNAcentral
GAUGAACGCUGGCGGCGUGCCUAAUACAUGCAAGUCGAGCGAACAGACGAGGAGCUUGCUCCUCUGACGUUAGCGGCGGACGGGUGAGUAACACGUAGAUAACCUACCUAUAAGACUGGGAUAACUUCGGGAAACCGGAGCUAAUACCGGAUAAUAUAUUGAACCGCAUGGUUCAAUAGUGAAAGACGGUUUUGCUGUCACUUAUAGAUGGAUCCGCGCUGCAUUAGCUAGUUGGUAAGGUAACGGCUUACCAAGGCGACGAUGCGUAGCCGACCUGAGAGGGUGAUCGGCCACACUGGAACUGAGACACGGUCCAGACUCCUACGGGAGGCAGCAGUAGGGAAUCUUCCGCAAAGGGCGAAAGCCUGACGGAGCAACGCCGCGUGAGUGAUGAAGGUCUUCGGAUCGUAAAACUCUGUUAUUAGGGAAGAACAAAUGUGUAAGUAACUAUGCACGUCUUGACGGUACCUAAUCAGAAAGCCACGGCUAACUACGUG